Long non-coding RNA from Drosophila novamexicana, 865 nucleotides. RefSeq lists it as uncharacterized. The record is from RefSeq and is a predicted model, not a curated record. The transcript has 3 exons. Lineage: Eukaryota; Metazoa; Arthropoda; Insecta; Diptera; Drosophilidae.
GUUUGAUAUGUGUCAUGUUAUUAUUUAUUGUGUGCUCGAAAUUAAAUGCCAAAAUAUCUUAAAUAUUUAAUGGCAGCUCAAGAGAGAGAGACACACCCACGCGAGUUAAAGUCGGCGCCAUUUGCCCUGCCCAGAAUGUCCUUGUCCUUGGCAUCAGCGCAGACAGCUAUUAAAGUGAGAUGGGCUUAGUUUGCCAGAGAGAGAGCGCAAGUGUUUGCAUGUCAGCAAAUAUUUGCAGCCGCGAUUAUUUGGCUGGCGGCGCCCAUGGAGCCCAGACAUGGUCGCCUGCACUUCUGGCUUUCAGAGCAACGUCUUCCAGUCGUGCCAUAAAUGUUGGACAUUAACGGCACGCGAUGUUGAAUGAUUAUCCUUGAACCAAAAAGCAAAAAAAAGGUAAAAAAAAACUUGAGCCUGGAAUUUGUCUGUUCGUGUUUAUUUCGUCGUUGGAGCACCCAUGAAAAUGCUGGGUCUGUCCUUUGACUUUUGCUACACGCCAAAAAGGAGGAAAAAAAAUAGCCUCAUAAAUUUGUACUUCGUUGUCUGCUUGGACGGCUUUUAAUUUGGCUUGCACAUGCAAGCAUCCUCGACAUUAGCUUUAAACUGGACACAGGACACUCUGCCCCGGCCUGGUCACCAGGACACACUCUCCGGGCUGGGCGCAUGUGUGAGCUUUUAAUCAAAUUCCAUAAAUGAACAGACAACAACUGGCAAUCAAAAUCAACGCCCUAAAAUAUGCUCACCAACUCAAAUUGAACGGGGUGGCAUAAAUUUUUAAAGUUACCAUCACACACUAUGCACACAGUCGAGGGUUGCCACAAACCUAAUCGAGAACGAGGAAGGUUGCUGGUUCAAAGUCGAAACAAAU